This 1243-nucleotide ribosomal RNA is filed under the name metagenome. RNAcentral's name for it is "bacterial LSU rRNA". It matches the Rfam family "Bacterial large subunit ribosomal RNA", at positions 1564 to 2816 of the family's 2925-position model. The record is from RNAcentral.
UGAAUACGAGACGCUAAGGCGUCGAAGUAGUGUAUGUCAUACUUCCAAGAAAAGCUUGCACUGUCAUAGAUAAAAAACGCCUGUACCAUAACCGACACAGGUGGGUAGGUAGAGUAUACUAAGGGGCGCGAGAUAACUCUCUCUAAGGAACUCGGCAAAAUAACUCCGUAACUUCGGGAGAAGGAGUGCCUUAUUCGUAAGGUUGCAAUAACAAGAUCCAAGCAACUGUUUAUCAAAAACACAGGUCUCCGCUAAGUCGUAAGACGAUGUAUGGGGGCUGACGCCUGCCCAGUGCCAGAAGGUUAAAGAAGUUGGUUAGCAAUUGCGAAGCUGAUAACUGAAGCCCUGGUGAACGGCGGCCGUAACAAUAACGGUCCUAAGGUAGCGAAAUUCCUUGUCGGGUAAGUUCCGACCCGCACGAAAGGCGUAAUGAUUUGGAUACUGUCUCGGAGAGGGGCUCGGUGAAAUAGACUUGUCUGUGAAGAUGCGGACUACCUGCACCAGGACAGAAAGACCCUAUGAAGCUUUACUGUAACUUGAAAUUGAAAUUGGACUUUAUUCGCGCAGCAUAGGUGGGAGGCGUUGAUUAUAAUCUUGCGGGAUUAUUGGAGCCAUCAGUGAGAUACCACUCUUGUAAUGUUAGAUUUCUAACUUUGAAUCAUUAUCUGGUCAAAGAACAGUUUCAGGCGGGCAGUUUGACUGGGGCGGUCGCCUCCUAAACGGUAACGGAGGCGUACAAAGGUUUCCUCUGAACGGUUAGAAAUCGUAUCUAGAGUGUAAAGGCAUAAGGAAGCUUGACUGUGAGACCUGCAAGUCGAGCAGGGACGAAAGUCGGUCUUAGUGAUCUGACGGUACUGAGUGGAAAGGCCGUCACUCAAUGGGUAAAAGUUACUCUAGGGAUAACAGGCUGAUCUCCCCCAAGAGUUCACAUCGACGGGGAGGUUUGGCACCUUGAUGUCGGCUCAUCGCAUCCUGGGGCGGUAGUACGUCCCAAGGGUUGGGCUGUUCGCCCAUGAAAGCGGUACGCGAGCUGGGUUCAGAACGUCGUGAGACAGUUCGGUCCAUAUCCGGUGUAGGCGUUAGAAUAUUGAGAGGAGCCUUCUUUAGUACGAGAGGACCGAGAAGGACAUACCUCUGGUGUACCAGUUAUCGUGCCAACGGUAAACGCUGGGUAGCUAUGUAUGGAGUGGAUAACCGCUGAAAGCAUCUAAGUGGGAAGCCCACCUCAAGAUAAGUAUUCUCC